RNAcentral lists this ribosomal RNA (464 nucleotides) under Sebacina guayanensis. Its description in RNAcentral is "eukaryotic LSU rRNA". It matches the Rfam family "Eukaryotic large subunit ribosomal RNA", at positions 140 to 606 of the family's 3401-position model. Lineage: Eukaryota; Fungi; Basidiomycota; Agaricomycetes; Sebacinales; Sebacinaceae. The record is from RNAcentral.
GAAUUGUAAUCUAGAGAAGUGUUUUCCGUGGCGGACCGUGCACAAGUCUCCUGGAAUGGAGCGUCAUGGAGGGUGAGAAUCCCGUAUAUGGCACGGACUCCCGUUGCUCUUUGAUACACUCUCGACGAGUCGAGUUGUUUGGGAAUGCAGCUCCAAAUGGGUGGUAAAUGCCAUCUAAAGCUAAAUAUUGGCGAGAGACCGAUAGCGAACAAGUACCGUGAGGGAAAGAUGAAAAGCACUUUGGAAAGAGAGUGAAACAGUACGUGAAAUUGUUGAAAGGGAAACGCUUGAAGUCAGUCGCGCCGUUCAGGAUUCAGCCUUGCUUCAGCUUGGUUUACUUCCUGUUGGGUGGGUCAACAUCAGUUUUGCUCGGAGGAGAAAGACUUGGGGAAUGUGGCAGCAUUCGUGCUGUGUUAUAGCCCCUUGUUGUAUACUUCGAUUGGGACUGAGGACUGCAGCACGCC